Molecule: ribosomal RNA, 433 nt
Filed under: uncultured bacterium
Lineage: Bacteria
Description: partial 16S ribosomal RNA
Rfam family: Bacterial small subunit ribosomal RNA
Source: RNAcentral
AGCGAACGCUGGCGGCAGGCUUAACACAUGCAAGUCGAGCGGGCCCUCCGGGGUCAGCGGCAGACGGGUGAGUAACACGUGGGAACGUACCCUUUGGUUCGGAAUAACGCUGGGAAACUAGCGCUAAUACCGGAUACGCCCUUCUGGGGAAAGGCUUGCUGCCGAAGGAUGGGCCGGCGUCCGUUUAGCCGGUUGGUGGGGUAAUGGCCUACCAAGGCGACGAUCAGUAGCUGGUCUGAGAGGAUGAUCAGCCACACUGGGACUAGGACGCGGCCCAGACUCCUGCGGGAGGCAGCAGUGGGGAAUAUAGGACAAUGGGGGCAGGCCUGAUGGAGCCAGGCCGCGUGAGUGAUGAAGGCCUGAGAGUAGUACAGCUCGUUUGUCCGGGGCGAUAAUGACGGUACCGGAAGAAUAAGCCCCGGCUAACUUCGUG